CAGUGCCUAUCGGUAGGGAACA
Molecule: microRNA, 22 nt
Filed under: Lottia gigantea (owl limpet)
Lineage: Eukaryota; Metazoa; Mollusca; Gastropoda; Lottiidae
Description: Lgi-Mir-1984-P1_3p* (star (passenger))
Source: RNAcentral